Molecule: long non-coding RNA, 3844 nt
Organism: Leopardus geoffroyi (Geoffroy's cat)
Lineage: Eukaryota; Metazoa; Chordata; Mammalia; Carnivora; Felidae
Exons: 3
Source: RefSeq, a predicted model, not a curated record
CCAGUGGCUCAACAAGGCAGCCGCAGUUAUCAUUAAAUGUCCCUUCCAAGCCCAGGAAAGCUGAGAUGGGGAAGCCAUUGGGCUCCUCACAGCCUUUGGCUAAAAAGAGACAAUUGGGGGGGGGGGGGGCGGGAGUUGCCCGCGGGCCCCAGAGGCCGAGAUCUCCCUGUGUUGGAGCCUCCCCGGGAGAAUGACAGCCCUUCUGGGGACAGGACUUUGCAAACCAGGCAGGUGUCGCCCCUGUGACAUCCUGGGGGCCGGGCUGUGGGAGCGCUUUCCUGGGCGUCAGCAGCACCCCCGAAUCCUGCACGUCUUGGAGCUCUGUAGACAAAUGUUGGAGAACCCGGGGGCGAACCUUUGGCUGAGGACUGAGCUCUUUUCUCCCCAUGAACAUGUUACCCCCCAGAAACCUGGCCCGCGUGCAUUUUAUCCAGCAACGCACAUCCUGCGCGUCCCCGCCGAACGUCAUAUUGUGCAUAUGGUUCCACUGACUACAAUCUUUAUUUCUAGUAACUUCCCUUGUCCCUCUUUUCUUUCUCACCACCCACCUUUCCUCCCAGCCCAGGCCCCCCUCGGUGGGCGUCUGCAAACCCUUAGCUGCUCUGCCCGGGCGGACCUUCGUGACCACCACCACGGGCGGACGAGGACGCAGUGACCGUGUCAAGAAAGGCCACGGUGUCUCUUGGGAAAACUGCUCCAUGAACCCUGAGUUAUGUCCCCGUCUCCCGUGGCCACUGCAACAAAGUCCACAACCGGCUCUCCUUCUGCUUCUAGGGACACCGGCCAUUGGGCUAGGACCCCCUGGAAUCCAUUCGGACCUCCUCUGAACCUGUGCGGAGACCCUAUUUCCAAACAAGGUCAUGUUCACAGGUACUGGGGCUUGGGCCUUUGGACACCGUCGAAGACACACCAUGCCGCCACCCACGUAGUCCGGCUCCCGUGAGGCCGCCACGUGGGGAAGAGGCCCGGCAGCUCUAUCCGCCGCACUUGGAGCCUUGGCCCAGGCAGCAGACGGACGGGGCGGGGCGGGGCGGGGGGAGGAGCCACCACCCGCCCGUGACCGCGCUCGACACGCGGCACGGGAACUGCCAGCGGAACCCCUUCACCUCCAGACCCGCAAGCAGAAGGAGCCACGCUGUUGCGCGAACCACCGGUUUGGGGGGCACCGGGUAACGCACGCCCUGUCCCGCUUUCCACAAAGGCCACCGGCUGUCCGUUCCCCCAGCCAAGUCCGGGGUCGCCUCUUCCGUCCUGCCUCACCCUCCGCAUCGACUGAGCGUUACCACGCGCGACAUUUUUUUUUAGGCUUAUUGAUUUUGAGAGAGAACGAGAACCAGCAGGGGAGGGGCGGAGAGAGAGAGAAUCGGGGCCUUCCAUCCAGCAAACCCAACCGGGAGCCAGAGGCAGAGACCCCACGGAUGUGGCCCAUACGGGGCAGCUCCCAGGGCGCGACGCAGACAGGAGGGGCAGAAGGACAAGCCCGGGGAGACGUCCAGGGAAGUCUGACGAUGAACCCGCCAAGGUCAUCCUGUCAGCGGCUGCUGAGAUAUCUGGGCAUCUAGGGCUGGAAGAAACCUCCCCCGAGGCUUCUUAGUCUUUGAGAGGAAGCGGGGGCCCCACCGAAGAUCUGAUAAAAUCCAGGGUUUCCUCGCAGCAAUCGGGGAGGAACCCCUGUUCCUCCAGCUCCCAUCGCCUCCAGUUCCCAGCAGCACAAACACCACUUGAAACAGCUUUCUGCCAGAAAGGGAAUUGACCGUCUCACAGAGCGGUGUCAGGUAAGGGUAGAUCCAGGGUCCCAACACCGCCGGGGGUUGGCUCUCUCUCCGUCUCUGUGUUCUGCUUGUCGUCUCAACGCAUCAGUGCUUGGCUACAGCAGCCUGAGCUUAUCCCCCCAAGUUAGGAAGCCUCAAGGAAGAAACCCACCAGCUACACCCAGCAGAGGUUCUGAGGAAAGUUCUGGAGGUGGGGGGGGGGGGGGCACGCGUGAGCCACACGCCCAUCCCUCACCAACCACUUGUGUCCCCGUGGAUCCUGUCUCGUGGCUGGCCUCCUGCUCGGCGACUGACAGCCCCACCUCCCCCAUGGGAGAGGGAGACUGGGUGAGGAAGCUUUUCAAACCAACACUAACUGUGGUGACCACAGUCCACGCCCUUGGACACAUGACAUUUCAGGGACCGCUGACCACCGCCAACCUCUUUCCUUUACAGAAAGAGGAACAGAGCCAUAGAUCAAGGUCACCCAGUGAGUGGGGAACAAAGCCGUCUGGGCUUUCUCUCAGAGAGCCUGAAGCCUAUUAAAUCCUUAAAUGGCAUUAUCAAGGGACAGGCACUGAGUUUCCAUAAUCCUCCAUGGGGAUUAGGAAAAUGCAGCCGAGCUAAGCUCCUUCCAGGCACGAAACAGCCGCCUGCCCCCAGCACUGUGCUUCUCCUGAGCCCGCAGCAGCCCCUGGAGGGCAGACAGCAGCCCCUUCGGCAAACGCCCUCGGGCCUCAGGACCCCUCCCCACCUCAUAGCACCGCAGACCCUGAUCAUGAUGACCACAAACACUGGUGUCGUCUCACAGCUCAGGAAGCCUUCCAAAGGCACAGAUGGGUGUUCUGGGUGGAUGAAGCCACACGAGUGAAGGUGUCGAGGCUGGGCCUUGGGGUCGGCCCUGCCCCUAAAAUUGCAGAGCCUGGGGCAAGGGUCCGAUGGCCAAAGGCCCACCUGCUGUGGGUUCACUCCCCAUACAUGCACCCUCGACACUCCCCUUGGUCACCCUUGGUCUAGGGCCACGCACACACUAAUCCACACAUCAGGAGAAAAGUCCCCAGAGACCCCAGAAGGGGGUCAGGGCUGCUCCGACAGGGGACCAGAGGGGCCCCAGGCCGCGGUGCGUUUGGCAGGACCUGGGGGUGAUCCGUGAAGUAGACAGAGCUGGCCAGUCCCACGGGACCCUCACAACCUGGCUGGGAAGCUUGGGGGUGGUGCCUUGAGGGGCCUGGGUGCCGCGGGCACACGGGCAGCUCUGUGCUGGGAGACGGGGCUCCGGAUGCCGCGGGCAGGCAGUUGAGGGGGCACAGACGUGCUGAGCGGCCAAGCAGGAUCCGUGACAGCGGUGUCCCCAGGCUGGAGUCCAGGGCACGGACUGUCUGGGAUGCGUUUGAGGGACCCCCCAGAGGGGAGGAUUGCCCCCGCUCCGUGUGGAGCAGGGGUGAGGAAAAGCGGCAGUGUGCGGGGGUAAGAGCUGUAACCACCGGCUCUCACGUGGGAAAAGCCCUGAUUUGAAGCAGUGACCAGUUUCCAUGGUGUAAAUAUUCCCACUGUAGCUGAUGUCCAGACGCCAACAGGAUGUCAGGGAACAGAGUUGGGAAGAGAAACGCCGUAGCACAUUACCACGUGGCACCAGCUGGAUAGAGCGGACACAACCUCCAGAGCAGAGAUUAAAAAAGUAAGGCAGCCGGCAGGAAGCGGCCUGGACGGUCCAGCCUCACCACAAAGCCUUGCAUACCUGGCGGGGACCCUGCGGGAUCGACUGUCACCGACUGGCAAGACGCCCCAGACGCUCGAUUGUUGAUCCUGCUGAUGGCCGCUGACAGCCGCUGGGCACCAAUUCGGUGCCCGCGGGCCUGGUGAUCGUCACACGCUAUUGAUUGUAAUUAGCAGCCAUCCCGUGACACCAUUGCUACCAUUGUGACCCCAUUUCUACAGAUGAGACAAGUGAGCUCAGUCAGCAGCACACAGCUCGGAGGCAGAGGCUGGGGGGGCGGGGGGGGGGAGCUCAGGUUUGCCCGGCGGCCAGGCUCCGACGCCACCUUUCUGAGUGGGGGAAAGGACCAGGGGAGGGGAGGCGGGCUCCAGGGACC